Molecule: unclassified non-coding RNA, 329 nt
Filed under: soil metagenome
Description: partial contains 5.8S ribosomal RNA, internal transcribed spacer 2, and large subunit ribosomal RNA
Rfam family: 5.8S ribosomal RNA (bases 1-120)
Source: RNAcentral
GAUGAAGAACGCAGCGAAAUGCGAUAAGUAAUGUGAAUUGCAGAAUUCAGUGAAUCAUCGAAUCUUUGAACGCACAUUGCGCCCCCUGGUAUUCCGGGGGGCAUGCCUGUCCGAGCGUCAUUACAACCCUCAAGCUCAGCUUGGUGUUGGGCCCCGCCGCCCCGGCGGGCCCUAAAGUCAGUGGCGGUGCCGUCCGGCUCCGAGCGUAGUAAUUCUUCUCGCUCUGGAGGUCCGGUCGUGUGCUCGCCAGCAACCCCCAAUUUUUUUCAGGUGGACCUCGGAUCAGGUAGGGAUACCCGCUGAACUUAAGCAUAUCAAUAAGCGGAGGA